GACGAACGCUGGCGGCGUGCUUAACACAUGCAAGUCGAACGCUGAAGCUCAGCUUUUGUUGGGUGGAUGAGUGGCGAACGGGUGAGUAACACGUGAGUAACCUGCCCCCUUCUUUGGGAUAACGCCCGGAAACGGGUGCUAAUACUGGAUAUUCACUGGUCUUCGCAUGGGGGUUGGUGGAAAGGGUUUUUCUGGUGGGGGAUGGGCUCGCGGCCUAUCAGCUUGUUGGUGGGGUGAUGGCCUACCAAGGCUUUGACGGGUAGCCGGCCUGAGAGGGUGACCGGUGACAUUGGGACUGAGAUACGGCCCAGACUCCUACGGGAGGCAGCAGUGGGGAAGAUGGCACAAUGGGCGCAAGCCUGAUGCAGCGACGCCGCGUGAGGGAUGGAGGCCUUCGGGUUGUGAACCUCUUUCGCUCAUGGUCAAGCCGCAACAAUGGUUGUGGUGAGGGUAGUGGGUAAAGAAGCGCCGGCUAACUACGUG
Molecule: ribosomal RNA, 483 nt
Filed under: uncultured bacterium
Lineage: Bacteria
Description: partial 16S ribosomal RNA
Rfam family: Bacterial small subunit ribosomal RNA
Source: RNAcentral